This is an RNA transcript of Lolium perenne, 1522 nucleotides long. RefSeq lists it as uncharacterized. The record is from RefSeq and is a predicted model, not a curated record. NCBI's taxonomy places the organism in Eukaryota, Viridiplantae, Streptophyta, Magnoliopsida, Poales, Poaceae.
GCCCUCACUGGGCCAAGCCCAACGAAACCCACGUGGCUUCCCACAGGAGAAUCCCCAAACCGUAUCUUCCCCUCUCCCCAUCUCCAUCUCCACCGCCGCCCCAACACCACCACCUUCACUGCCCGAGCUGCGGCCGAGAGCGAGGCAUGGGCGGAGGACCUUGCUGCAGCCGGGGCACGGGAAAUCAAACAGAAAUCUGGAGAUCGCCGGCGUUGGCGCCAGGCCGCCGCCAGCUAGGGUUUCGGCGCCACCGCUCCAUCCUUCCCCGACGCAUCAUCCAUCCUUCUGCCCUCCCCGAGUUCCCCGGCGCCAGGCUCUGGUUAGUACCAGGCCUACGGGAUGUUGCGCCUGUAGCUCGACCAGCGCAGCUAUGAGCUGUUGCGCAAGGGCCUCGACCAACUACGGUACCGUGCUAUCCAUCGAGAGAUUCAACCACAACGGACGUGGUUCCGGCGUCUCGCCCCGCCAGAAGAUCCACACCAACGGCGCAUCCUACCUGACGGUCUUCCAUGGUUGACAGUAACUUUAGUUCCAUUUACUGGUGUAGCUUCUGUGUUGGUGAACGACGGAGCAAGCUUUUUAGUUGCAUUGUAGAUGUACAUGCUCUAUUGCUUACUCGGUCAUUCUGUACUGCCCAUGCUCGCUGGGCCGCAUGACUCCACCACUGUGCCGCCUGCCGUACCUCUACCGCCAUACCAGCUAUUUAUAAUGAAGCAUCUGGAGGACCCUGGCAUGUAUGCGACAUGUCGCCACCACUAGGCGACAACCCUGGGUUCCGACAGGCUGCUGCAACCAGGUCGUCAACCUCCCACUCCCUCAACAAUGUGUAUUUGUCCUACGGAACCCAGGUUUUGGCAAGGAUAAUAAACCAAAAUAAGAUGGUGAAUCUAAAGACACGAAAGAGUAUGUUGAAGACUUGGAUGAUGACCAUGAGGUAUACUGAACUCUACUUACUGGCUUGAUAUGAUUGCUGAACAAUAACCUCGCUGGCACUUUUGUGAGAUUCUGCUAUGGGGAGAAGCAAUGGUUUUGAUAUGGCUGGGUUUCAGCAGAGUAAACCAGUAGUCACAAUGAGUAAUAGCAAUGGGAUCAGUACCAUGUAUGAGUUAGCUGACGCACAAUACUAGAUCGGUUGAUGGUGAUACUGAAACUCUUAGUGCUCAUCUACCUUCAUCAGCUGCUAAAAAUACCCAUAGCAAAUCAAACGAUACAAUGGCACAUGUUUCAGUAGAAUAGCCAACUACCGAAUAACCUCACUGGAGCAUCUAAAAGCUUGCAGCUGGAGUUGGUUCUUUUGGUAAAGCUAGAGGUUGGCAAUAGUCAAAGUUUGAGUAAGCAUUGUUCUUAUUAGUUCUGUGUGGUCAGAGAACAAGGAAAAGAAUUCCAAUACAGCAAGUUUUUGUAUAAAGUGAUACAAGAGCGGUAAAAAAAUCUCGAGGUGAAAAUGGAAUCGCCUCUGUAUCGAUAAGGCUAUCUUUCAGAGUUCCAUGUCUGGAAGUUGGAAGUUGGUUGUGCGUACACA